Non-coding RNA from Acanthosepion pharaonis, 114 nucleotides. The record is from the annotation of a GenBank genome assembly. NCBI's taxonomy places the organism in Eukaryota, Metazoa, Mollusca, Cephalopoda, Sepiida, Sepiidae.
UUAUGACCAUACCACAUUGAAAACACCAGUUCCUGUACAAUCACUGAAGUUAAGAAACGUUGAGCCUGGUCAGUAUCUAGAUGGAUGACCCCUUGGGAAUACCAGGUGCUGUAA